CCUGUAUUCUACAGUUCAAAAGCUUUCCUCGAUGCUAUUAAAAAUUCAAAAGCUAACUUUGGCGAUAAUUGUUGUAACCUAAAAGCUUAAGUUUUACCUUCAAACGCAAGCAGUCAUCAUCAUGAUGCACUAUUCCGCCGAAUCCAAACCGGCGAUGAUAAAGGUGUAGACCCUGGUAGAUGCAAAGUUUUUUGACGAAUGCAACAACUCGGCCCAACGAUGCCCCGAAGGCAGCCGAGCACACUUUAGCCAC
RNAcentral lists this long non-coding RNA (253 nucleotides) under Malus domestica (apple). RNAcentral describes it as "long non-coding RNA (MDOM_LNC006912)". Lineage: Eukaryota; Viridiplantae; Streptophyta; Magnoliopsida; Rosales; Rosaceae. The record is from RNAcentral.